RNAcentral lists this ribosomal RNA (346 nucleotides) under uncultured Chaetomium. RNAcentral describes it as "SSU rRNA". It matches the Rfam family "Eukaryotic small subunit ribosomal RNA", at positions 20 to 370 of the family's 1831-position model. Lineage: Eukaryota; Fungi; Ascomycota; Sordariomycetes; Sordariales; Chaetomiaceae. The record is from RNAcentral.
GUAGUCAUAUGCUUGUCUCAAAGAUUAAGCCAUGCAUGUCUAAGUAUAAGCAAUUAUACCGCGAAACUGCGAAUGGCUCAUUAAAUCAGUUAUCGUUUAUUUGAUAGUACCUUACUACAUGGAUAACCGUGGUAAUUCUAGAGCUAAUACAUGCUAAAAAUCCCGACUUCGGAAGGGAUGUAUUUAUUAGAUUAAAAACCAAUGCCCUUCGGGGCUCUCUGGUGAUUCAUAAUAACUUCUCGAAUCGCACGGCCUUGCGCCGGCGAUGGUUCAUUCAAAUUUCUGCCCUAUCAGCUUUCGACGGCUGGGUCUUGGCCAGCCGUGGUGACAACGGGUAACGGGGAAU